ACUCCUACGGGAGGCAGCAGUAGGGAAUUUUCCGCAAUGGACGAAAGUCUGACGGAGCAAUGCCGCGUGAGUGAUGAAGGUUUUCGAAUCGUAAAGCUCUGUUGUAAGGGAAGAAUAGCAAGAUAGGAAAUGAUUCUUGUCUGACGGUACCUUACCAGAAAGCCACGGCUAACUACGUGCCAGCAGCCGCGGUAAUACGUAGGUGGCAAGCGUUAUCCGGAAUUAUUGGGGCGUAAAGCGCAUGUAGGCGGCUUUUUAAGUCUGAUGUG
This 269-nucleotide ribosomal RNA is filed under the name uncultured bacterium. Its description in RNAcentral is "partial 16S ribosomal RNA". It matches the Rfam family "Bacterial small subunit ribosomal RNA", at positions 335 to 596 of the family's 1533-position model. The record is from RNAcentral.